AGAGUUUGAUCAUGGCUCAGGACGAACGCUGGCGGCGUGCUUAACACAUGCAAGUGGUGCGACGAACCAGGGCUUGCCCUGGGGCAAAGCCGCGAACGGGUGAGUAACACGUGAGUAACCUGCCCCGAUGACCGGGACAACCCGAGGAAACUCGGGCUAAUACCGGAUGUGGCGCACAGAUAUAAGCCUGUGCGCUAAAGGAAGCUUCGGCCUCCGCAUUGGGAGGGGCUCGCGGCCCAUUAGCUUGUUGGUGGGGUAACGGCCUACCAAGGCAACGAUGGGUAGCUGGUCUGAGAGGACGAUCAGCCACACUGGGACUGAGACACGGCCCAGACUCCUACGGGAGGCAGCAGUGGGGAAUCUUGCGCAAUGCGCGAAAGCGUGACGCAGCAACGCCGCGUGGGGGAAGACGGCCUUCGGGUUGUAAACCCCUUUCAGGAGGGACGAAGGUUCACCGGUGAAUAGCCGUGUGGAUUGACGGUACCUCCAGAAGAAGCUCCGGCUAACUACGUGCCAGCAGCCGCGGUAAUACGUAGGGAGCAAGCGUUGUCCGGAAUCAUUGGGCGUAAAGCGCGCGUAGGCGGCCCUGUAAGUCCGUUGUGAAAGUCAAAGGCUCAACCUUUGAAAGCCGAUGGAUACUGCAGGGCUAGAGUCCGGAAGAGGCGAGUGGAAUUCCUGGUGUAGCGGUGGAAUGCGCAGAUAUCAGGAGGAACACCAAUAGCGAAGGCAGCUCGCUGGGACGGUACUGACGCUAAGGCGCGAAAGCGUGGGGAGCGAACAGGAUUAGAUACCCUAGUAGUCC
RNAcentral lists this ribosomal RNA (802 nucleotides) under uncultured bacterium. RNAcentral's name for it is "bacterial SSU rRNA". It matches the Rfam family "Bacterial small subunit ribosomal RNA", at positions 8 to 796 of the family's 1533-position model. The record is from RNAcentral.